GAUGAAGAACGUAGCGAAAUGCGAUACUUGGUGUGAAUUGCAGAAUCCCGUGAACCAUCGAGUCUUUGAACGCAAGUUGCGCCCGAAGCCAUUAGGCCGAGGGCACGCCUGCCUGGGCGUCACACGUCGUUGCCCCCCCAUCUACUCCUUCGGGAUUGCGGGGGGCGGAUGAUGGCCUCCCGUGCGCCUCGUCGCGCGGUUGGCAUAAAUGCCAAGUCCUCGGCGACGCACGCCACGACAAUCGGUGGUUGCGAAACCUCGGUUGCCCGUCGUGUGCGGUCGUCGCGCAUCGAGGGCUCGAAAAAAUUGCCGGGUUCCGGCUCGGCUUUCAACGCGACCCUAGGUCAGGCGGGGUUACCCGCUGAAUUUAAGCAUAUCAAUAAGCGGAGGA
This 391-nucleotide unclassified non-coding RNA is filed under the name soil metagenome. RNAcentral's name for it is "partial contains 5.8S ribosomal RNA, internal transcribed spacer 2, and large subunit ribosomal RNA". The stretch from base 1 to 122 matches the Rfam family "5.8S ribosomal RNA", at positions 35 to 154 of the family's 154-position model. The record is from RNAcentral.